UUCCCUGUCUUGGCUGUUAAUGAAAGGUAAGAGAAUCCCUUCUCUCACUAAAGAAUCCUUUAGUGCAGUGACAGCUCAGUCUGUUGCCAUGGAAGUGUUUUUGACACCACAAAUAGAGUUCUAAAAGUUCCCUUCAUGAUCAAACUGCUAGAGGCUCCAAGCUCAGACCAAGGACGAAGAAUCCUGCAUUGCUGUCAAACACAGUAGUUUUUCUCACCCUGUGCAGACACUUCGGAAUAGCUCCUCCCAGCCAGCAGGUGGAGACAGUGCAAAUUCCUCAGUGUCUCAUCAUGAGGAUUCCUCCCCUGAAGCCCUUGGGAAUUGUGUGUGGAAACCAGCUGCAGAAUCAGGCAAUAAACAGGUACAAUAAUGAGAAAGCCCAACAGUGCUGACGGCCCAUCAGCAAGAGACAAUGGAUUGUAAAAGAGCUUAGUCUUCCUGCGAACAUGUCAGUCAGCCUGUGAAGAAUGGCUACAGGGGCCCUACAGAGGCAUGUGACCAUGUCACCUGAUACCGGAACCCAUCUUGAAUUCUGUACUUUU
Chrysemys picta bellii (western painted turtle) is the source of this 542-nucleotide long non-coding RNA. RefSeq lists it as uncharacterized. The record is from RefSeq and is a predicted model, not a curated record. NCBI's taxonomy places the organism in Eukaryota, Metazoa, Chordata, Testudines, Emydidae.